CGCGUAGGCGGUCUUUUAAGUCAGAUGUGAAAGCCCGGGGCUUAACCCCGGAAGUGCAUUUGAAACUAAGGGACUUGAGUAUGGGAGAGGGAAGUGGAAUUCCUGGUGUAGCGGUGAAAUGCGUAGAUAUCAGGAGGAACACCGGUGGCGAAGGCGACUUCCUGGACCAAUACUGACGCUAAGGCGCGAAGGCGUGGGGAGCAAACA
RNAcentral lists this ribosomal RNA (207 nucleotides) under uncultured bacterium. RNAcentral's name for it is "partial 16S ribosomal RNA". It matches the Rfam family "Bacterial small subunit ribosomal RNA", at positions 568 to 774 of the family's 1533-position model. The record is from RNAcentral.